Molecule: transfer RNA, 96 nt
Filed under: Deltaproteobacteria bacterium
Lineage: Bacteria; Pseudomonadati; Myxococcota; Myxococcia
Also listed under: 3 other names
Description: tRNA-Ser
Rfam family: tRNA
About the family: Transfer RNA (tRNA) molecules are approximately 80 nucleotides in length. Their secondary structure includes four short double-helical elements and three loops (D, anti-codon, and T loops). Further hydrogen bonds mediate the characteristic L-shaped molecular structure. tRNAs have two regions of fundamental functional importance: the anti-codon, which is responsible for specific mRNA codon recognition, and the 3' end, to which the tRNAs corresponding amino acid is attached (by aminoacyl-tRNA synthetases). tRNAs cope with the degeneracy of the genetic code in two manners: having more than one tRNA (with a specific anti-codon) for a particular amino acid; and 'wobble' base-pairing, i.e. permitting non-standard base-pairing at the 3rd anti-codon position.
Source: RNAcentral
GGAGAGGUACCGAAGAGGCCGUAACGGGGUCGACUCGAAAUCGACUUGUCCUGUGAAGAGCAGGGCACGUGGGUUCGAAUCCCACCCUCUCCGCCA